GAUUAACGCUGGCGGCGUGCAUAACACAUGCAAGUCGAACGAUGAAACUUAGUAGACUUCUUCGGAAAGACACUAAGCGGAUUAGUGGCGAACGGGUUAGUAACGCGUGAGUAACCUGCCUUACACAAGGGGAUAGCCUUUGUAAACGAAGAAUAAUACCCUAUAAAACCAUAGAAGCACAUGCUAGAAUGGUCAAGGUGAUAGCGGUGUAAGAUGGACUUGCGUCUGAUUAGCUAGUUGGUGAGAUAAAAGCUCACCAAGGCAACGAGCAGUAGCCGGCUUGAGAGAGGGUACGGCCGCAUUGGGACUGAGACACGGCCCAGACGCCUACGGGAGGCAGCAGUGGGGAAUUUUGCAGAAUGGGGGAAACCCUGAUGCAGCGACGCCGCGUGAUUGAGAAGGCCUUCGGGUUGUAAAAAUCUUUUGUAUAGGACGAAAAUGACAGUACUAUACGAAUAAGGUCCGGCUAAUUACGUG
RNAcentral lists this ribosomal RNA (477 nucleotides) under uncultured bacterium. Its description in RNAcentral is "partial 16S ribosomal RNA". It matches the Rfam family "Bacterial small subunit ribosomal RNA", at positions 28 to 507 of the family's 1533-position model. The record is from RNAcentral.